CGCGUUGAAACACCGGUUCUCGUUCGAACACCAAAGUUAAGCAACGUUGACUCUGGUCAGUACCUAGAGGGGUGAUCGCUUGGGAAUACCAGGUGCU
Non-coding RNA from Acanthosepion pharaonis, 97 nucleotides. The record is from the annotation of a GenBank genome assembly. Lineage: Eukaryota; Metazoa; Mollusca; Cephalopoda; Sepiida; Sepiidae.